Sebastes umbrosus (honeycomb rockfish) is the source of this 359-nucleotide long non-coding RNA. RefSeq lists it as uncharacterized. The transcript is spliced from 3 exons. NCBI's taxonomy places the organism in Eukaryota, Metazoa, Chordata, Actinopteri, Perciformes, Sebastidae. The record is from RefSeq and is a predicted model, not a curated record.
AAAAAAACUCCAGAGGGGAAUCUAAUUGAGUCAAUCAUUGCCCCAGCAGGUGUAAGUGGAACUAGUGGCACUCAUAAUAAUGGUGAUUUGCUGUGUGACAUGCAGCUUGAUGACGCUGACAAUACUGAGCAUUUGGAGCUCUGGUUUGGGCUCAAAAGAAGACCUCAAGUAUGUGAAACAAGAGGACAUUGCAGACUUACUACCUGUUAUUCAACAGCGAAAACUUAUAGAUGCAUUCAAAAUAGAGACGGAGAUAAUCACCUUGGACCUCCAAGUCCUGCCGUCCCCUACCACUUCAGUCUGCAGCCACUCUACUACAUUUUCCAGUCCAUCAGGCACAUCUUUGCUCUCCUGCUCGG